RNAcentral lists this ribosomal RNA (450 nucleotides) under uncultured bacterium. RNAcentral's name for it is "partial 16S ribosomal RNA". It matches the Rfam family "Bacterial small subunit ribosomal RNA", at positions 338 to 795 of the family's 1533-position model. The record is from RNAcentral.
CCUACGGGGGGCUGCAGUCGAGAAUCAUUCGCAAUGGGCGAAAGCCUGACGAUGCGACGCCGUGUGAGCGAUGAAGGCCUUAGGGUCGUAAAGCUCUUUCGCCUGGGAGCAAGAGAAGCUGACUAAUAUUCGGCUACUUUGAGAGUACCAGGUAAAGAAGCACCGGCUAACUCCGUGCCAGCAGCUGCGGUAAUACGGAGGGUGCAAACAUUGAUCAAAGGGCGUGUAGGCGGGAACAGAAGAGAGAUGUGAAAUCCUGGAGCUCAACUCCAGAACAGCAUUUGAAACUAUAUUUCUUGAGGGUAGGCGGAGAAAACGGAAUUCCACAUGUAGCGGUGAAAUGCGUAGAUAUGUGGAAGAACAUCGGUGGCGAAGGCGGUUUUCUAGCUUAUUCCUGACGCUGAGGCGCGAAAGCAAGGGGAGCAAACAGGAUUAGAUACCCUAGUAGUC